GCAGGUUUUGGGGAGGUUCUCCUUGAAGGUAACUAAGUCUGUCUAAAAAUUUUCCGUAAUAUUGAGGAUAUAUUAUAAUCUGAGAUGUGCAAUAACUCUUGGUUUAAUGGUUUGGGUACUUGGUUAAUAUCAAGAGACAACAUAUAACUAUUCUGGUUAAUUUUGUAUCUGAUCACUGAUAUUAUUAUUGGAAAAUUUGUAGGCUUAGUAUGUAUUGGACAAUGGUGACACCAACAUGGAACCAUAAGUGUUGGUGUUCCCUCAGCAUUGUUCUGGUAUGGUCUUCAACCUAAUUAUUGAUUAACUAAUGUCAUAUACUGGGAGUAAAUGAGGGACUGAUUUUGCUAGGAUUUGCAAUGGAGGAAACUAAGAUUUGUUGAGAUUUAUCAUUGUUAUCUUUUAGGUGUCAAUCUUGAGAUAUUAUAUGAAUGUACUACAUAAGUGUUGUAACAAAGAGUGUUUGGUGUAAUUAUCUAUUGUUGAUGUCAUUACUCAGCCAGGGGGCAACUUUUUUGUGCCUUGGGAUUUUCUAGUGCUUUAUUUGGUUUCUCUCAAGAAAAAUCCAUUACUUUCAUUACUAAGCCACUAGUAUCUGAUUUUCCCUUUCUCCAUAGACCUUUUAGUCAUGGCUAUGAAGAUCGAACUUCCUUUGAGGUUUGGAGUGCUUUAAGGAUCAUUAGUAUGUCAGUUCUGUGUGUUCACGUCUUGAUUCUUAGCAGUACUGUUAGGUUCGCAUUUCUUAUUAUCAAAAAAUGGAAUCAUUGCCCUUCAAGUGUGAUGUGGCAUGUAGGAAUCUGCUUUCUGGCGGUGUUAAUAAUGACAUCUAUUAUCACUCUGUGGUUUUCCUUGUUUUUGGUGUCCCUGUGGUCCAACUCUUCCGAACCCAAUUCACGGAGUGAUAGCUGGUCUUCGAACCUCAAGGUGCACUGCUCUUGCUGCUUUGCGAACACAUCAUAUUUAUUCUUAAUAUUGAAGUUUGUCGUUUCUCUAAUUCGCAUGUCAUUGAAACAGUUAUACAACUUCUCUGGGUAUAUAAAUUUGAAUACACCAUAUCAUUAUUAUAUAAAAUUCUCUGCUUAUGACAUAUAAUGAACAGAUUACUACAUCAUAUUAUUAUUGGUAAAGUCCCUUGGCUUAUAGUGGUUCCUUGGUCAUCUUAUAGUGGUAUCUUGCUAUCUUAAGAGUUAUCUUGCCUACAUAUAGAAUGUUUUUGUUUUUUGCUUUUUUGCUUUUGUAUCCUUCACUUCAAAUAGGGUGAGGAUGAGCAUCUGCCAGGAGUUUUGUACCUCCCAACCAGUAAGUCUUACAUCUGUCUUGAUGCAUACCUAAUAUUAAUUGUUAUAUGUUUGUGGUAUAAGUUACUGUUUCAUCUGCUAUGAUUAUGCUACCUGGGUGUGGCUUAGUCUGCCCUUGCAAUGUGAGUUAUUUAAAUAUGCUUGAAUCAAUCAUAUUCUUGGUUAGUUUAGACGACAAUUCUUGUGCAGAAUCGU
RNAcentral lists this unclassified non-coding RNA (1490 nucleotides) under Hevea brasiliensis (rubber tree). Lineage: Eukaryota; Viridiplantae; Streptophyta; Magnoliopsida; Malpighiales; Euphorbiaceae. The record is from RNAcentral.